GGAUGUAAGGACAAUCUGGCUGCGACAUUUGUCACCCCAUUGAUCGCCAGGGUUGAUUCAGCUGAUCUGGCUGGUCAGGCGGGUGUCCUCUUCCUCCCUCACGCUCCAUAUGCGUCCCUCCCGAAGCUGCACCAUUGGUGGAAAAAGACGACUAUCCCCAAUAGAGGAGCACGAUCUUCCGCAAGGGUAUACAGGUAGCUGUGCUCCCCUGCUGAACCUCCAAACAAGCUCUCAAAGACACUAACUGAUUUUCCUGAAGACACACUUCUGGAACAAAAUGUAACUCGAGUACAGAAUUUUAUACCAAACUAAAUUAAACUCCAUCAGGGAAGUAAACUAAAUUU
RNAcentral lists this small nuclear RNA (344 nucleotides) under Saimiri boliviensis boliviensis (Bolivian squirrel monkey). Its description in RNAcentral is "7SK RNA (ENSSBOG00000012981.1)". It matches the Rfam family "7SK RNA". Rfam says of the family: 7SK was discovered as an abundant small nuclear RNA in the mid-70s but a possible function has only recently been suggested. The record is from Rfam by way of RNAcentral. Lineage: Eukaryota; Metazoa; Chordata; Mammalia; Primates; Cebidae.